UGAGGAAUAUUGGUCAAUGGGCGAGAGCCUGAACCAGCCAAGUAGCGUGCAGGAUGACGGCCCCAUGGGUUGUAAACUGCUUUUAUGUGGGGAUAAAGUGAGCUACGUGUAGUUUAUUGCAGGUACCACAUGAAUAAGGACCGGCUAAUUCCGUGCCAGCAGCCGCGGUAAUACGGAAGGUCCAGGCGUUAUCCGGAUUUAUUGGGUUUAAAGGGAGCGUAGGCCGUGGAUUAAGCGUGUUGUGAAAUGUAGACGCUCAACGUCUGAAUUGCAGCGCGAACUGGUUCACUUGAGUAUGCACAACGUAGGCGGAAUUCGUCGUGUAGCGGUGAAAUGCUUAGAUAUGACGAAGAACUCCGAUUGCGAAGGCAGCUUACGGGAGCACAACUGACGCUGAAGCUCGAAGGUGCGGGUAUCAAACAGGAUUAGAUACCCUGGUAGUCCGCACAGUAAACGAUGGAUGCCCGUUGUUAGUUCACCUAAGAAUUAGCGACCAAGCGAAAGCAUUAAGCAUCCCACCUGGGGAGUACGCCGGCACGGU
RNAcentral lists this ribosomal RNA (541 nucleotides) under uncultured bacterium. Its description in RNAcentral is "bacterial SSU rRNA". It matches the Rfam family "Bacterial small subunit ribosomal RNA", at positions 355 to 895 of the family's 1533-position model. The record is from RNAcentral.